GGCAGAGGUGGAAGCAUGGUAACAUGUGGAGCUGACUGUUACUAAUCGGUCGAGGGCUUGACCAAG
RNAcentral lists this ribosomal RNA (66 nucleotides) under Velocimicrobium porci. RNAcentral's name for it is "partial 23S ribosomal RNA". The record is from RNAcentral. Lineage: Bacteria; Bacillati; Bacillota; Clostridia; Lachnospirales; Lachnospiraceae.